RNAcentral lists this ribosomal RNA (1480 nucleotides) under metagenome. Its description in RNAcentral is "bacterial SSU rRNA". It matches the Rfam family "Bacterial small subunit ribosomal RNA". The record is from RNAcentral.
AGAGUUUGAUCCUGGCUCAGGACGAACGCUGGCGGCGUGCCUAACACAUGCAAGUCGAGCGGAGACAGUGAGUAGCUUGCUAUGAGCUGUUUUAGCGGCGGACGGGUGAGUAACGCGUGAGCAACCUUUCCCAGACAGGGGAAUAACACACCGAAAGGUGUACCAAUACCGCAUAAGACCACGGGAUCACAUGGUUCUGGGGUAAAAGAUUUAUCGGUUUGGGGUGGGCUCGCGCCCGAUUAGGUAGUUGGUGAGGUAACGGCCCACCAAGCCGACGAUCGGUAGCCGACCUGAGAGGGUGAUCGGCCACAUUGGGACUGAGACACGGCCCAAACUCCUACGGGAGGCAGCAGUGGGAAUAUUGGGCAAUGGAGGAAACUCUGACCCAGCAACGCCGCGUGGAGGAAGGAGGUUUUCGGAUCGUAAACUCCUGUCCUUGGAGACGAGUAGAAGACGGUAUCCAAGGGGGAAGCCCCGGCUAACUACGUGCCAGCAGCCGCGGUAAUACGUAGGGGGCAAGCGUUGUCCGGAAUAAUUGGGCGUAAAGGGCGCGUAGGCGGCUCGGUAAGUCUGGAGUGAAAGUCCUGCUUUUAAGGUGGGAAUUGCUUUGGAUACUGUCGGGCUUGAGUGCAGGAGAGGUUAGUGGAAUUCCCAGUGUAGCGGUGAAAUGCGUAGAGAUUGGGAGGAACACCAGUGGCGAAGGCGACUAACUGGACUGUAACUGACGCUGAGGCGCGAAAGUGUGGGGAGCAAACAGGAUUAGAUACCCUGGUAGUCCACACUGUAAACGAUGAAUGCUAGGUGUAGGGGGUAUCGACCCCUUCUGUGCCGCAGUCAACACAAUAAGCAUUCCGCCUGGGGAGUACGGCCGCAAGGUUGAAACUCAAAGGAAUUGACGGGGGCCCGCACAAGCAGCGGAGCAUGUGGUUUAAUUCGACGCAACGCGAAGAACCUUACCAGGUCUUGACAUCCACUUAAACUUACAGAGAUGUAAGGUGUGCUUGCACAAAGUGAGACAGGUGGUGCAUGGUUGUCGUCAGCUCGUGUCGUGAGAUGUUGGGUUAAGUCCCGCAACGAGCGCAACCCUUAUCUUCAGUUACUAACGCGUGAGGGUGAGGACUCUGAAGAGACUGCCGGGGACAACUCGGAGGAAGGUGGGGACGACGUCAAAUCAUCAUGCCCCUUAUGACCUGGGCUACACACGUGCUACAAUGGCCACGACAGAGAGAAGCGAAAUCGCAAGGUAGAGCGGAACUCAAAAAAGUGGUCCCAGUUCGGAUUGUGGGCUGCAACCCGCCCACAUGAAGUCGGAGUUGCUAGUAAUCGCGGAUCAGCAUGCCGCGGUGAAUACGUUCCCGGGCCUUGUACACACCGCCCGUCACACCAUGGGAGUUGGGAGUGCCCAAAGCCGGUGAGGCAACCGCAAGGAGCCAGCCGUCUAAGGCAAGACCAAUGACUGGGGUGAAGUCGAAACAAGGUA